Long non-coding RNA from Mauremys reevesii (Reeves's turtle), 1000 nucleotides. RefSeq lists it as uncharacterized. The record is from RefSeq and is a predicted model, not a curated record. Lineage: Eukaryota; Metazoa; Chordata; Testudines; Geoemydidae. The transcript is spliced from 6 exons.
UUACAUUAAUUUCAACCAAGUUCUGACUCUUCUGUACUAUGAGGAUCAAUACAGGGGAAAGUUUGAUAUGAACUUUGGGGUUUCUACAUCUCUUCUUUUUACAUUGCCUUACACCAGUCAUACCUUGUGAAAACUGCAGAUGCAAAACAACCUGCCUCUGCCUCAAACAGCAGAUCCCACAUUCAAAGAGACCGUAUCUGCUCUUCUCUCAGGGUGAUGCUGACCUAGAACGCUACAGACAGAUUCUCAAGGGGACUGUUCACAAGGAAAACACAUCUGCAGCCUGUUUCCUGUCAUAUGUGAGAGGCAACUCAUACAGUACAUUACAAGUCCAAGAGGAGAAUUAUUAGUAAGCAACAGGAGCCUUGUCAAGUUCAAUAGGUUACUGGUUCUGAAGUCUGUUUUUCUACUCAGGGGACACUUAACAGAAGCCAGCCAAUGAAACCAAGUUCCGCAGUGACACACACAGCCCCAGUGAAGCCAAAGGUUUGUUAGUGUUUUUGCGAGAUCCAUCUUACCGAAAUUAGGUUUUCCAACUGCAAUGCUAGAGGAUCUCCUCUUCACAUCCAGGGGGACCAUAUCCCUAAGGAAGUAAUCUGCUUUCACUUGCUGAGGAAAAACUGCAACUUUAUUGCACUGCAAAAACUGUAAAUUUUUCUCCAGUGUCACAAAAAAAAGUUAACCCAGCAGAAUUAGGACUCCAAAUGGUGUUUCUAUGAUCAAGCAAAGAUAGCAUGGAAAUUUGAGAGAACUUGCAUAUAAACCAGAGGAUAGAUUUAUUAAUAACUUUUCUCAAAGGACUAAUGUACAGUAUACAAAUUCUUCAGAAAAAAGAGAAAAUGGUAACAGUGAAGACAAAGCAACCCAGAUGGCCCAUAAGCAGACUAAUUAUAUGAAAGACCCAGCAGCAACUCGAAAGUUACCAAUCCAGCUGCCUAGAGAGUGUGCCAGGUUGCCAGAUGUGAAAAUCUUCCACAGUUCAUCAAUGAAACACAGUAGC